This 720-nucleotide long non-coding RNA is filed under the name Bos taurus (domestic cattle). RNAcentral describes it as "long non-coding RNA NONBTAT005015". The record is from RNAcentral. Lineage: Eukaryota; Metazoa; Chordata; Mammalia; Artiodactyla; Bovidae.
GACCCUGAGGUGUUUCUAAUAGGCACUUCUCCAUACAUAGUUCUAGUUAGGAAUCACUGCUGGAUUCCACGGAAUUCCAGAAAAUAGGGGAAGAUAUUUGGCAGAGAGUUAAGGAUUUCUCAAGACUCCUUACCUCACACCAUCUCUGUGGUUUCAUUGAGUCUCUGGGGAGAGUUGGAAGACCUGGGAAAGCACUCACUGAAGGGCACAAGCUAGUUUUGUCCGUGAGGCCAGGCCUCAUUUGCUUUCCUUUCAUCCAGAUCUUUUCCCCUUGCCUCCAAUUCAACCUGGAUGGAGUUUUAAGUCUUUAAAGAACACCCAUUAAAGAUGAUGAAGUAGUCUGGCUUCAAGAUCCAUUCAACCCCUCCAGCUCAAAGAUAAAAUAACAGAGGCAUCCGCAGUGUCUAAUUUUGUCUUUGGAGCUAAUGAAAUAUCCUGUGGGAGACACUGUGUGCAGGAUGUUGUUUUGCCGCAAGUAAUGGACAGUCACUAAGGAUGAAUGAUUUUAGGUCCCUAGGCCAGUGUUAAUAUGCUUGUCUUAAGGUAAACACAUCUGGUGUUCAAAAAUGCUCUCUCUCAUCUAAAUCAAACAGCUACUUUAACUUGGAAAUCCUCCAACCAAAUGUCUUUUUGUGUAAUUCCACAGAUCUCCAGGAUGUAACCAGAGAUAUGAGAAAUCCUUUUCCUUCUUCAACUUAUGUUUAGAACUUCCCGUUGUUG